Molecule: ribosomal RNA, 492 nt
Filed under: uncultured bacterium
Lineage: Bacteria
Description: partial 16S ribosomal RNA
Rfam family: Bacterial small subunit ribosomal RNA
Source: RNAcentral
AGUGAACGCUGGCGGUAGGCCUAACACAUGCAAGUCGAACGGCAGCACAGUAAGAGCUUGCUCUUACGGGUGGCGAGUGGCGGACGGGUGAGGAAUACAUCGGAAUCUACUUUUUCGUGGGGGAUAACGUAGGGAAACUUACGCUAAUACCGCAUACGACCUACGGGUGAAAGCAGGGGAUCUUCGGACCUUGCGCGAUUGAAUGAGCCGAUGUCGGAUUGGCUAGUUGGCGGGGUAAAGGCCCACCAAGGCGACGAUCCGUAGCUGGUCUGAGAGGAUGGUCGCCGCAACGGGAACUGAGAAGCGUCCAAGACCCCGGCGGGGGGAGGCAGGGGGGAAUAUUGGCAAAGGGGGGAAAGCCUAAUCCACCAAUACGGGGGGGAGGAAGAGGGCUUCGGGGUGGUAAAGCCUUUUUUUUGGAAAAAAAAAGCAGCAGCUUAACACCCCGCGGCCCUGACGGUCCCAAAUAAAAAAGCCCCGGCUAACUUCGUG